Molecule: unclassified non-coding RNA, 391 nt
Filed under: fungal sp.
Lineage: Eukaryota; Fungi
Description: partial internal transcribed spacer region
Rfam family: Eukaryotic small subunit ribosomal RNA (bases 1-46)
Source: RNAcentral
AAGUCGUAACAAGGUUUCCGUAGGUGAACCUGCGGAAGGAUCAUUAACACGUUUGAAUACGUUUUCUAUGAACCAUUUCAAUUUUCUGUGCACUUCUCGAAACCGGCCUCCUGAGCCGUCCUCCGGGUUUACUCGGUGCUGACGUGUUUGGGCGUCUUUGGGAAUCACAAAACGGAAAGGGGAUAGGCGGCAGGUAGGAACUUGGGUCUUCUUUUAAAAAGAAGACUUUUGAGAACCUCUUGUUGCUUGUUCUUUUUUUGCUUUGCCCUUAGGCGUUGCCACAACCCCAACCCUUUAACCUGUAUGUCUGAACUCUGAAGUUGGCGAAUUCACUUUUGCUAACGACAUUUAAAAACAAUAACAACUCUUAACAACGGAUAUCUUGGUUCUC